CUGGGUUAGUCGGGACCUAAGGAGAGACCGAAAGGUGUAUCCGAUGGACAACAGGUUGAUAUUCCUGUACUAGAGUAUGUAGUGAAGGAGGGACGCAGUAGGCUAACUAAAGCGUGCGACUGGAAGUGCACGUCUAAGCAGUGAGGUGUGAAUUGAGUUAAAUGCUUAAUUCUAUAACAUUGACCUGUGAUGGGGAGCGAAGUUUAUUAGCGAAGUUAGUGACGUCACACUGCCUAUAAAAGCUUCUAGCGUUAAUAAAACUCUACCCGUACCGCAUACCGACCCAAGUAGUCGA
Molecule: ribosomal RNA, 295 nt
Filed under: Streptococcus parasanguinis
Lineage: Bacteria; Bacillati; Bacillota; Bacilli; Lactobacillales; Streptococcaceae
Description: partial 23S ribosomal RNA
Rfam family: Bacterial large subunit ribosomal RNA
Source: RNAcentral